Corticium candelabrum is the source of this 325-nucleotide long non-coding RNA. RefSeq lists it as uncharacterized. The record is from RefSeq and is a predicted model, not a curated record. The transcript has 3 exons. Lineage: Eukaryota; Metazoa; Porifera; Homoscleromorpha; Homosclerophorida; Plakinidae.
CCUGCGCCGUUUAUUGAAAGGGGGCCUCAGUUUUUGUCGUCUGCUGAACGUGGUUUUCUCGGCACAAAUCAACUUCAAUAAAUUAGGCGACAGGGGAGAAGUCUAAUAGAAGGCCUAUCAGACAGGUGCCAACUGGUUCUUCUAAAGGCAGGAAAGUCUUAGAGACUUAGCCAAAGUCAGGGAUGCUGAUCUGCAUCCUGUGAGAAAAGAAAUAGCGACUGCUGCUGUUGCACAUACACAAUGGAAGUUGUCUAUUACAAGUCACAAAUUAUAGAUCUGACCACAACGUUAUUAUAAUUAUAGUUCUAACAAGAGUCAGAUGACU